AAGCGCUUGCGACCAGACUUGUAGGCGGUGUUCCGCCGGUCUUUUGACCGGUCCAUUCACCGUCGGCAGGCCAGCAUCGUCUGGGGCCGCCGGACAAAGGCAAUGGGAAUGUAACUCCCCCGGGAGCGUUAUAGCCCAACGCACAAUACGGCGAGACCCGGGCGAGGUCCGCGCUUCGGCGAGGAUGCUGGCGUAAUGGGUGCAAGCGG
RNAcentral lists this ribosomal RNA (209 nucleotides) under Capnodiales sp. Its description in RNAcentral is "partial large subunit ribosomal RNA". Lineage: Eukaryota; Fungi; Ascomycota; Dothideomycetes; Capnodiales. The record is from RNAcentral.